RNAcentral lists this ribosomal RNA (397 nucleotides) under uncultured bacterium. Its description in RNAcentral is "bacterial SSU rRNA". It matches the Rfam family "Bacterial small subunit ribosomal RNA", at positions 29 to 429 of the family's 1533-position model. The record is from RNAcentral.
AUUGAACGCUGGCGGCAUGCCUUACACAUGCAAGUCGAACGGCAGCACGGGGGCAACCCUGGUGGCGAGUGGCGAACGGGUGAGUAAAGCAUCGGAACGUACCCGGAAGUGGGGGAUAACGUAGCGAAAGUUACGCUAAUACCGCAUAUUCUGUGAGCAGGAAAGAGGGGGAUCGCAAGACCUCUCGCUUUCGGAGCGGCCGAUGUCGGAUUAGCUAGUUGGUGGGGUAAAGGCCUACCAAGGCGACGAUCCGUAGCGGGUCUGAGAGGAUGAUCCGCCACACUGGGACUGAGACACGGCCCAGACUCCUACGGGAGGCAGCAGUGGGGAAUUUUGGACAAUGGGGGCAACCCUGAUCCAGCCAUGCCGCGUGAGUGAAGAAGGCCUCGGUUGUAAG